UGGGGAAUAUUGGACAAUGGGCGAAAGCCUGAUCCAGCCAUGCCGCGUGAGUGAUGAAGGCCCUAGGGUUGUAAAGCUCUUUCGCAGGUGAAGAUAAUGACGGUAACCUGAGAAGAAGCCCCGGCUAACUUCGUGCCAGCAGCCGCGGUAAUACGAAGGGGGCUAGCGUUGUUCGGAAUUACUGGGCGUAAAGAGCACGUAGGCGGACUAUUAAGUAAGGGGUGAAAUCCCGGGGCUCAACCCCGGAACUGCCUUUGAUACUGGUAGUCUCGAGUCCGGAAGAGGUGAGUGGAAUUCCGAGUGUAGAGGUGAAAUUCGUAGAUAUUCGGAGGAACACCAGUGGCGAAGGCGGCUCACUGGUCCGGUACUGACGCUGAGGUGCGAAAGCGUGGGGAGCAAACA
RNAcentral lists this ribosomal RNA (402 nucleotides) under uncultured prokaryote. RNAcentral's name for it is "bacterial SSU rRNA". It matches the Rfam family "Bacterial small subunit ribosomal RNA", at positions 355 to 774 of the family's 1533-position model. The record is from RNAcentral.